UUAUGGCCAUAUCACGUUGAAACACCAGCCCUCGUAGGAUCAACGAAGUUAGGCGUUGUCGAGUUUGGUCCGUACCGAAAUGGGUGAUCUCUUGAGAAUACCAGGGGCUGUAAG
Acanthosepion pharaonis is the source of this 114-nucleotide non-coding RNA. The record is from the annotation of a GenBank genome assembly. NCBI's taxonomy places the organism in Eukaryota, Metazoa, Mollusca, Cephalopoda, Sepiida, Sepiidae.